This 308-nucleotide signal recognition particle RNA is filed under the name Otolemur garnettii (small-eared galago). RNAcentral describes it as "Metazoan signal recognition particle RNA". It matches the Rfam family "Metazoan signal recognition particle RNA". Rfam says of the family: The signal recognition particle (SRP) is a universally conserved ribonucleoprotein. It is involved in the co-translational targeting of proteins to membranes. Lineage: Eukaryota; Metazoa; Chordata; Mammalia; Primates; Galagidae. The record is from Rfam by way of RNAcentral.
GCCAGGCGUUGUGGCGGGUGCCUGUGGUCCUAGCUACUUGGGAGGCUGAGGCAGGAGACUCGCUUGAGCCCAGGAGUUGGAGGGUGCUGUGAGCUGUGAUGCCACAGCACUCUACCCAGGGUGACAGCUUGAGGCUCUGCCUCAAAAAAAAAAGAAAAGAAAAUGUCUUUCUAAGGAAUUAUUUCUUCAUCUGAUCUCUUUUUUUUUUUUGAGACAGAACCUCAAGCUGUCCCUCUGGGUUGAGGGCUGUAGUAUCACAGCUCACAGCAACCUCCAACUCCUGGGCUCAAGUGAGUCUCCUGCCUCUG